Molecule: long non-coding RNA, 169 nt
Organism: Hibiscus syriacus
Lineage: Eukaryota; Viridiplantae; Streptophyta; Magnoliopsida; Malvales; Malvaceae
Exons: 3
Source: RefSeq, a predicted model, not a curated record
AUAAUCAAUAAAUUUAAUUUUUUUAAUAAAGCUAAGGUGAUUACAAAGUAGUAUAUGUUCUAAAUACUCUCAAUCAUUUGACAAUAAACGCUCAAUCACCCUGCUGCAGUAGCUGGUGCUCGAACCUGUGACAUCUAAGAACAACAAUGAUUCCCUGAACCACUGAGAC